This 378-nucleotide unclassified non-coding RNA is filed under the name uncultured bacterium. RNAcentral's name for it is "contains 16S-23S intergenic spacer region". The record is from RNAcentral.
UCCGGUUUGUCACCGGCAGUCCCAUUAGAGUGCUCAACUAAAUGUGGCAACUAAUGGCAAGGGUUGCGCUCGUUGCGGGACUUAACCCAACAUCUCACGACACGAGCUGACGACAGCCAUGCAGCACCUGUGUCCACGCCCCUUGCGGGGAGGAACCCAUCUCUGGGAACCGUCGUGGCAUGUCAAAAGCUGGUAAGGUUCUUCGCGUUGCUUCGAAUUGAACCACAUGCUCCACCGCUUGUGCGGGCCCCCGUCAAUUCCUUUAUGUUUUAGUCUUGCGACCGUACUCCACAGGCGGGAUGCUUAACGCGUUAGCUUCGCUACAAGAGGGGUCGAUACCUCUUACAGCUAGCAUCCAUAGUUUACGGCAUGGACUAC